This 8190-nucleotide long non-coding RNA is filed under the name Homo sapiens (human). Its description in RNAcentral is "HSALNT0400721". The record is from RNAcentral. Lineage: Eukaryota; Metazoa; Chordata; Mammalia; Primates; Hominidae.
AUCCAAUUUGAAACAUUUCUUUUAUUGAAGAAGUUGAACUUACAGCAGACAGUGAAAGGAGUUACAGCACUCCAGGACAAACACAGACAUAAAAUAAUACAUAAAACAAGUAGCGGGAAACUGGAAGAUGCCAGGGAGUCCUCUUAUAAAAGCAGGGUUCACCAAAACCAGAAGGCCAACUGGCUCCAGGACAGCGAAAGGCACAGUGGCUCCUCUGCUCCUCUGCCUUCUGCCCCAUUUGAAAUGGGGGACUUACAAAUCCAGACUUCAGGGCAGGCCUAGACUUGAUGCAGCCACUGCAAUCUUGGUCCAUGGUGCAAUUUGGCAGACAAGUUGGUGAAAGGUAAGUUGUCUCCAGAGAUUUCAAUCAGGGACGUGGCUUCCAGAUGUUAAAAGAUACCCAGCUAAGUCACAAGGAAGUGGAUGUUUUCAAAUGCUAAGUGACCACCAAACAAAACAUUCUCCCUGGGCCUUCACCACUCAGAGAACACCAACAUACAAAAACAAAAGUCUGUUCCCAUUUCAUCAAUAAUGGAGUUUUAAGGAUUUUGUCAUAGUGUAGAAUAUUAAGAAUGGAUGAAUAAAAAGUCAAAAAAGGUGCAGAGGUCCUAUAAAUCAGGGUUUAUUAGACUAGAUAUUAAUAAAUUGGAAGGGUUUAAAAAAAAAAAGGCUGUUGGCCCUACAUAUGACAGUUUCCCAUUGUUUCUUAGCUUAGUAUAUUUAUUUUCCAACACAAUGUUAGCAAUUCUUACAGCAGUUCUUGCAUUUUUCCAAUAACAUUUUUAUUAAUCAAAUGGUAUAUAUUUUUCACUAUAACCUAUUUUCACUGAUUAAUACAUUUAUCAGUAUUUUAAUGUGGCCUAAAAUAUGCUAAAUUCUGUCACAAUAAAUAUGUUUUUCCCUCCCUGGGGAGAAACACAAGUAAAAAAAGGAAAAUAUUAAGAUGCAUUCCACUUUUUAGUUAAGGAAAAGUUCAGAAAACUCCCAUCUUUUUAAAAAAGAAUGAAAAUAUGAUCCUAAGUAACUCAGGUUAGAAAAACAGUAACAGAGCCAGGCGCAAUGGCUCACGCCUAUAAUCCCAGCACUUUGGGAAGCUGAGGCAGGAGGAUCACUUGAGCCCAGGAGUCUGAGAUCAGCCCAGGCAACAUAGUGAGACCAUGUCUCUAUUAAAAAAAAAAAAAAAUUAAAGAGAGAAAAAAACAGUAAUAAUAAAACAAGUGGGGAGGAGGACAUUUAGAAGAAAAAUCUAGAUAAACCUCUGCACAAAAAUAAUUUUGGAAAAAAGUUAGAAGUCCUACCUGAGAUUAAUUCAGGCGUCACUGGCUAAUGCUAAGGGAAUUCUGAUUGGAAGGCAGCAACUCAGGGGCCCAAGGACCACAUUAACAGAUGCAAUUACCUGCCCUAGAGAAGGCGCUUCCUCACACUCCCACUUAGCUGCAAUGCCAAUACUGUCCUUUCAAGCUUCAACCCUGUGAUUUUAAGAUAUCAAAACUUGUAUCCUUCUUCAGCUCUAUGUAAUUUGUCAAAAAUUUCAAGAUGCAACUCUAUAGCCAAAAAGAGAGCCUUUUACUUUUUCAAACAAAAAUAAACAAGAGAAGUCACUGACUGCUAAAACUAGAAGGGACCCUCAAGAUUGGUAUCACAGGAUCACACCUUCAUCUGGCAGUAGGUUGAGGUCAGUAACUCAGCUCACAUGACAUUUAAAACCACACAACACUACCAGAGAGAGCUACAGGUUCAGAUGCCAAUGGUUUCAAAAAACCAUGAUUCAGGCCGGGUGCAGUGGUUCACGCCUGUAAACCCAGCACUUUGGGAGGCCGAGGCAGGUGGAUCACAAGGUCAGGAGUUUGAGACCAGCCUGGCCAACAUGGUGAAAUCCUGUUUCUACUAAAAACACAAAAAUUAGCCAGGCACGGUGGUGCGUGCCUGUAAUCUCAGCUACUCGGGAGGCUGAGGCAGGACAAUCGCUUGAAUCUGGGAGGCGGAGGUUGCAAUUAGCCAAGAUCGCACCACAGCACUCCAGCCCGGGCGACAACAGCAACACUCCGUCUUGAAAAAAAAAAAAACAAAAAAACCACGAUUCAAGAAAAAGGCAGAUUCUCCUGUGUUCAGCAGCUACUUUAAAAAAAAAAAAAAAAAAAAAGGCACUUCUUGGCCAGGAGUGGUGGAGGACUGCUUGAGCCCAGGAGUUUGAGACCAGCCUGGGGAACAUAGCCAGACCCUGUCUCUACAAAAAUAAAAUUAGCUGAGCAGUUCCAGCUCCUUGGGAGGCUGAGGUGGGAGAAUCACUUGAGCCCGGGAAGUCAAGGCUGCAGUGAGCCGUGACCAUGCCACUGCACUCCAGCCUGGGUGACAGAGCGAGACCCUGCCUGGAAAAAAAACAACAACAACAACAAAAAAGCACUUCCUAAUGAUUGGGGAAAAUAUUAAAUAUUAGGUCAGAGAGUUAAACACUCUUAGAAAUUUUUAAGAAUACAUUUAUUUCACUCAACACUGAAUCUUAAAAUUAUUACUUCUUCAGACCAGGCACGGUGGCUCAGGCCUGUAAUCCCAGCACUUUGGGAGGCGGAGGAGGGCGGAUCACUUGAGCUUAGGAGUUGCAGACCAACCUGCACAGCAUAGUCAAACCCCAUCCCUACCAAAAAAAAAAAAAAAAAAGAAAAUUAUUACUUCCUCUCUCAGGCUUCAAAAUUAAGGAGGAGGGAGGGACAAAUUGGGAUAUCCCAUAGCUGCCUGCAAAAAACACAAUAGCUUAUUCCAUUCUCCCAAGCAGGAUUUAAAAUUUCAAAGUGAAAACAGCAGUCAUAUGUAAUUAUACAUGCUUAACUCUCUCACAUUUUGUAGAAAAACAUACAAAAUACAAAAAAAAAAAAAAAGACUGUAUCAAGUUAGAAAACUUAAAUAGAACACCAAAAUCCAGAUGACCUUGAAGUUUUGCUGGAUCUUAAAAUCACUAGAACUACUUCAAAAUAUAUAAAUAGGCCCCAUUAUGAAAAAUAUAAAUAUGAACAUGAUAAAUAAGCAAGAGAGGAAAGGAAACUGGUCACUCAGAUAAACCAUGACAGGUCCUGGGUAAAAUACAUUUAGACGAUUCGGGGAUGGAGGUACUAGAAUUAGCAAGGCCCUCCCUGCAGCUUGCAACCUGUGGGGAAAAAGCCAAACAGGUGGUAGGCCACGUGUAUUAUUGCUCCUGCCAAAGCCUCCUCUUUCAGAAUCAAAAACCACAAGUAGUUGAGACACUGUGCUUUUCUAUCAAAAUCGCCCUUCACUGGUGAAAAUUAGCCUCCACUGGCAAUGUUCGCUGGGAACUGUACACUCUCCCACUCUUUCUUGUUCCGGUAUCCUACUGACUUUUACAGACCUCGGUAACUUUUUCUGAACCAGGACUCAACUCCUCACUGAGCCAAUGAAAAGCCAUGCUCUGCAGACUUCAGAUGCAGGGCCUAGCAGAGGACUCUGGUCUUAACUCCUGGUCCGUGGCAUUCCACUUACAGCACCGUCUUCCUCAUUUAUUUCAGUAAAGGUCAGAGGUGGGUGCCAGCCACACACCCAUUUCAUAUGUUCAGUUUUACCCACUUGUGUGCUUGACCUUGGACUUAACUUCAAUACUCUGCAUUGCAAUUUGUGAAUCAUCCAUUAAGGCUAAAUCUUAAAAACUAAUCUUUGUCUCCACUGGAGACACAGUAACUAGUAACUAAACCACAAAUCCAGCUUUUUAAGAUUUACCCUGACAGAUUGACUCUCACCCAACAAAAGCUUCCGACAUCCCACUCUACUGCUAAAACAGAAAGUAAAUGAAAGGCUCAGUAGAUGGAAUAAAUUACUCUUCCUCCUCUGCCUCAUACCUACACCCAGCCGCACCAACAAUCUCCUCCGACUACAAAAAAACACUCAAAGUAAACCAGGAAAAAACUAAGGUAGAAAUUUUUAAAAAGCAAAUAAGGCAAGACAAAUAGAAUUCCAAACUGCAUAUAUAUAUAUAAGAUAUAUAUAUAUAAAAUCUUUUAAAUAGAGACAGGGUCUCUUGCUAUGUUGCCCAGGCUAGUUUCAAACUCCUGGGCUCAAGCAAUCCUUCUGCACUGGCCUCCCAAAGUGCUGGGAUUACAGGCAUGAGCCAUGACACCCAGCCCCAAACUGCUGAUAGGUUAUUUUACAAUUAUAAAUUUAUAUCUUGAUGCCACUUACAAAGUUCUAGGCAUUGGUGGGUAACCUGGUUUGCUUUCAAAUGGUCACAGGACAAAGAACUGCCUCCUCACACUCAGAAACGUGUCUAUGAAGGCUAUUUCCAUUUCACAUUUCAGAACCUGAGAGCCUCCAAUACAAGGAAACGAGAGUUAUUUACAAUUUUGAUACACACACGCACCUCAAGAUUUAAGGUUCUAGAUUGAGGAGCCUAGAAAUUUGACUCUAAGGCUUGACCUGCUCACCUAGAUAACCAAAUUAAUGAAGCUACUGGAUACAACCUCAAUAGAGUACAGAGAAAGCUUCUGCACUCCAAGGACUAAGGUAACAUUACUUCCCAAAUCAGAUUAAACCAAAGGGGGAACAGACCUUCACAAGUCACGGCUAUAUAGCAAUUUGGGCCAGGCACAGUGACUCACACCUCCCAGCAUUUGGGGAGGAAGAGAUGGGUAAAUUGUUUGAGCCCAGGGGUUCAAGACCAGCCUGCAAUAUAGCAAACCCCGUCUCUACAAAAAAUACCAAAAAAUUGGCCGGGCAUGGUGGCUCACGCCUGUAAUCCCAGCACUUUGGGAGGCCGAGGCAGGUGGAUCACCUGAGGUCAGGAGUUCCAGACCAGCCUGGCUAACAUGGCAAAACCCCGUCUCUACUAAAAACACAAAAAUUAGCUGGGUGUGGUGGUGGGCGCCUGUAAUCCCAGCUACUCUCGAGGUUGAGGCAGGAGACUCGCUUGAACCCAGGAGGCGGAGGUUGCAGUGAGCCAAGAUGGCACCACUGUACUCCAACCUGGGCAACAAGAAUGAAACUCUGUCUCAAAAAAAAAAAAAAAAAAAAAAUUAGCCAGCCAGGCAUGGUGGUGUGCACUACAGUCCCAGCUACUAUGGAGGUUGAGGUGGGAGGACAGCUGAAGCCCAGGAAGUUGAGGCUGUCAUGAGCCAUGACUGUGCCACUGCACUCCAGCCUGGGUGACAGGAGACCCUGUCUCAAAAAAACAAAAACAAAAACAAUACAUAAUUUGGCUGAAGUCAUCUAGGUUAAUGGUUCUAACUGCAGUCAAGUUCAAUGUAAAAGUACACAAUCCCUUCAGGCUUUCAGAGAAAACCCUGAACACUCAGUUAUACCCUCGCAUGUGAAAAUGAAGAGAAAAAAAGCAGCAAGCGUCAUGAAGAUACAGAAAUAAAUAUGAACUCAUCUGGUUUUGACAUUUUACAAACUAAAUGUGUGAAUCCAAAAGUAUGAUAUCAAGCAGGGAGUGGUGGCUCACACCUGUAAUCCCAGCACUUUGGGAGGCCAAGACAGGUGGAUCACUUGAGGCCAGGAGUUCGAGACUACCUUGGGCAACAUGGCAAAACUCCAUCUCUACUGAAAAUACAAAAAUUAGCCAGGCAUAGUGGCACAGGCCUGUAAUCCCAGCUACUCAGGAGGCUGAGGUACGGGAACUGCUUCAGCCUGGGAGGUGGAGGUUGCAGUGAGCCAAGAUCGUGCCACUGCACUCCAGCCUGGGUGACAGAGCAAGACUGUCUGGGGAAAAAAAAAAAAAAAAAAAAAAGACAUAUUACAACAGUGCCAGACCAGAAAAAUGACGGGUGGUUCACAACACUGAUCACAGACUGAGGUUCAGCUUGUUUCAAAGCAAUGUUCUCUGUUGUCAACAAUCAGAUUUGGGUCACCCACAUGCUAGCAAGCUAAUCUGACUAGGCUGAUCAGGCCUAAAGCUUGGAUUUUUAUUUGUGGACUUUGCAAUGAACUAUGGUCAACAUCACAAAAGGAGUCCUUUAUACUCAAUCUUCUAAAACAAUCCUUAAAAGAAAAACUACAGAGGAUCACCUUGGCUAGGGCAAAAGAAAAAUGCUUCCUUUUCAAAACCCUUCACAUUCUAGAGAGUAAAUCUUGAAGAAAAUAUGGGUUUUUAAUCAAUGAAUCUGAGACAUUGAAUCUUCAUUUAAAAGAAAACAAAAACAGGAUAAACAUAAGAGCCUGAAGACAUAAGGGAGUUCUACUUGUCCAUAUACCAUGCUGAAAAGGAAAUACUUUGGGUGUAUUUUACAAAACACCCAAAGCCUGUCUGAAGGAAUGCCCUUCCGAAUUCUGAGGAUACAAAAGCCCUGUCCUAAGCUUUUUCUAAUCUAUAAACAGAAUUUCAGACCAGAUCUGAAGAACUUGUGCCAUAAAUAAUGCCUCUUGUCUGUACAGAGCUUUUUAGCUUUGUGGUGCUGUUUUUUUUUGGUCCAUCAGCUCCUUCUAAUCCCAACAAGUACCCAGUGAGGGAGGCACGUCAGCCAAAAUCAUCAUCUCUGUCUUGCAUGUAAGAACAAGAGAGGUCAAAUAGCUCAAAACUCACAAAGCAGGAGAGACCUGCAAGAGGACUCAAGUCUGAUGUUCCCCUUGCCAGAAUUAUUAUUUAAAAUUGCAGACAUGUAGAUAAGGCCCAAAUUAAAAUGCAGGUUUUCAACCUCCAAACUCAGAAUCUCUGGUGAUGAAUUUUUAUAAAUACAUUAUGUCAAACAAGUUCCCCAUGUGAUUCUGAAGCCCAUCAGUUUGAGAAUCAUCAGCAUGAACAAUGAUCCAAAUUGAGCCAGAGAACCCAUUUGUUUACCUAUCCUUCAUGAAACACAGAACCUGCCAAGCAAACCAAGCAGCAAAGACUGUAUGUGCUUCAAAUUCAAGAGCCAGGUCAAUGCACUUGGUCAGAUACCCACAGUUUUGGCUUCUCUCUUUACCAAGGUAACUUCUCAAUUGACAGUAGCCAACAGUAUCUUCACAAACUCCUUGCACUCCUGGAAGGUAUCUUCUUGUAGAUGACCAAUACAUAUGGUGUCAAAUUCCUUCUGAAGGUAUUUAACACUUUAAGGGAGGUAUCAUACCAUUAACUAUGGGUGCAACCCUUGUCAAGAUCAUCAGGUUGGGUUUAUAGAGCAUCCAUAACCAUGACUCUACAUAUCCUACAACACACUAUCUCUGCCCAUUUAACUUUAUUUCUGACAGAAAAUGGCAGCAAGUCUCCUUUUGAACUCAUUUCUAAUAGCAUAUAAUUUUAUAAGGGAGAAAAAAAUGGUGACAAUUUUAGAUUAUUUUAUAGAUUAAGAUCAUGUUAACUGACUUUGAAACAUACUUUCAGGGCUGGGUGCAGUGGCUCACACCUGUAAUCCCAGCACUUUAGGAGGUCAAGGUGGGAGGAUCACUUGAGCCCAGGAGUUCAAGACAAGCCUGGGCAACAUAAGGGGACCCCAUCUCUACAAAAAAUACAAAGUUUAGCUGGGCAUGGUGGUGCAUGCCUGUAGUCCCCACUACUCACGAGGCUGAGGUGGGAGGAUCGCUUGAACCCAAGAGGGCAAGGCUGCAGUGAGCCAAGAUCAUGCCACUGCACUCCAGACUGGGCAACAGAGGGAGACCCUGUCUCAAAAAAGAAAGGAAGAAAGAAUCACACCUUCAGAAAAAAAAAAAAAAAAAAUCUCCCCACAGUCAUCUGCCAAGCACUGUCCUGCUAUAUUUCUCAGAAGGAAAUGCCCUGAAAAGGCUUCACAGCAGAUAGGCCAGGCCUUGGACUUCCGAGAGGAAAAACCUCUUACAGCAACGAGAAUUUUAAAAAGCAGGAGGCUGUACAAUAUAAUGUGAAUGAAGAAAAAAGAAGUCAGCUUAGAAAUAAGCACAUCUGACCGAGCACGGUGGCUUACGCCUGUAAUCCCAGCACUUUGGGAGGCUGAGGUGGGUGGACCACGAGGUCAGGAGUUCAAGAUCAGCCUGGCCAAGAUGGUGAAACCCCAUCUCUACUAAAAAUACACAAAAAUUAGCCGGGCGUGGUGGUGGGUGCCUAUAAUCCCAGCUACUUGGGAGGCUGAGGCAGAGAACUGUUUGAACCUGGGAGGCAGAGGUUGCAGUGAGCCGAGAUCAUGCCACUGCACUCCAGCCUGGGCGACAGACCAAGACUCCAUCUCAAAAAAAAAAAAAAAAAAAAGAAGAAGAAGAAGAAAUAAGCACAUCUGAAAAAUCAGUAAAGGAUGUGAAAAGAUC